UGGGGAAUAUUGCACAAUGGGCGAAAGCCUGAUGCAGCGACGCCGCGUGAGGGAUGACGGCCUUCGGGUUGUAAACCUCUUUCAGUAGGGAAGAAGCCCUCUUUGGGGGUGACGGUACUUGCAGAAGAAGCGCCGGCUAACUACGUGCCAGCAGCCGCGGUAAUACGUAGGGCGCAAGCGUUAUCCGGAAUUAUUGGGCGUAAAGAGCUCGUAGGCGGUUUGUCGCGUCUGCUGUGAAAGACCGGGGCUCAACUCCGGUUCUGCAGUGGGUACGGGCAGAGUAGAGUGCAGUAGGGGAGACUGGAAUUCCUGGUGUGACGGUGAAAUGCGCAGAUAUCAGGAGGAACACCGAUGGCGAAGGCAGGUCUCUGGGCUGUAACUGACGCUGAGGAGCGAAAGCAUGGGGAGCGAACAGG
Molecule: ribosomal RNA, 416 nt
Filed under: Bacillota bacterium
Lineage: Bacteria; Bacillati; Bacillota
Description: Firmicutes bacterium partial 16S ribosomal RNA
Rfam family: Bacterial small subunit ribosomal RNA
Source: RNAcentral